CCUGAGAAACCCAAAAGAUCGAAUGAGGAGAUUCAUUGUCAGCUCAUUUUGUAUAUGUAUCGAGUUACGAUGCAAGUUACUACUUGUAGUAUUGCCUGCACGUUCUUUUACAUUUAGUUGCAAGAUGUNGUCGGCGUGCACUUCUUCUCUAGUAGAACGUCGCGACCCGUUGAGAGUUGGUCUACGGCCCAAGUGGUAGACUGUUAUGUUUGAAAAAACAUUAAUAGACCCUUUGGUGUUUUCUGAUCCAACUUCUCGGCGGUACACGUACGGUAUUAAGCCGCAAAAUUUCAUUUGCGUCCAUGCUCGUCGCAAGCGAGGUCAAUUUCCGGUAGUACGGACUUAGUGCCGUCGCUGGUAUUGACCAGCUGUUGGUUGUACGAUGUUCUAGGACUGGCUUAA
This 402-nucleotide ribosomal RNA is filed under the name Confusocentrus panturat. Its description in RNAcentral is "partial 28S ribosomal RNA". The record is from RNAcentral. Lineage: Eukaryota; Metazoa; Arthropoda; Insecta; Hymenoptera; Braconidae.